GCCAGACUCCUACGGGAGGCAGCAGUGAGGAAUAUUGGUCAAUGGGCGAGAGCCUGAACCAGCCAAGUCGCGUGAGGGAGUACUGCCCUAUGGGUUGUAAACCUCUUUUGUCGGGGAGCAAAAGCCGGACGUGUCCGUCUGUGAGAGUACCCGAAGAAAAAGCAUCGGCUAACUCCGUGCCAGCAGCCGCGGUAAUACGGAGGAUGCGAGCGUUAUCCGGAUUUAUUGGGUUUAAAGGGUGCGCAGGCGGAAUGUCAAGUCAGCGGUAAAAUUUCGGGGCUCAACCCCGUCGUGCCGUUGAAACUGGCGUUCUUGAGUGAGCGAGAAGUAUGCGGAAUGCGUGGUGUAGCGGUGAAAUGCAUAGAUAUCACGCAGAACUCCGAUUGCGAAGGCAGCAUACCGGCGCUCAACUGACGCUCAUGCACGAAAGCGUGGGUAUCGAACAGGAUUAGAUACCCUAGUA
This 463-nucleotide ribosomal RNA is filed under the name uncultured bacterium. Its description in RNAcentral is "bacterial SSU rRNA". It matches the Rfam family "Bacterial small subunit ribosomal RNA", at positions 330 to 792 of the family's 1533-position model. The record is from RNAcentral.